GUGGGGAAUAUUGGGCAAUGGGCGCAAGCCUGACCCAGCAACGCCGCGUGAAGGAAGAAGGCUUUCGGGUUGUAAACUUCUUUUAAGAGGGAAGAGCAGAAGACGGUACCUCUAGAAUAAGCCACGGCUAACUACGUGCCAGCAGCCGCGGUAAUACGUAGGUGGCAAGCGUUGUCCGGAUUUACUGGGUGUAAAGGGCGUGCAGCCGGGUCUGCAAGUCAGAUGUGAAAUCCAUGGGCUCAACCCAUGAACUGCAUUUGAAACUGUAGAUCUUGAGUACCGGAGGGGCAAUCGGAAUUCCUAGUGUAGCGGUGAAAUGCGUAGAUAUUAGGAGGAACACCAGUGGCGAAGGCGGAUUGCUGGACGGCAACUGACGGUGAGGCGCGAAAGUGUGGGGAGCAAACAGG
Molecule: ribosomal RNA, 407 nt
Filed under: uncultured rumen bacterium
Lineage: Bacteria
Description: bacterial SSU rRNA
Rfam family: Bacterial small subunit ribosomal RNA
Source: RNAcentral